This 1324-nucleotide ribosomal RNA is filed under the name uncultured bacterium. Its description in RNAcentral is "bacterial SSU rRNA". It matches the Rfam family "Bacterial small subunit ribosomal RNA", at positions 64 to 1377 of the family's 1533-position model. The record is from RNAcentral.
GAGGGGCAGCGGGGAGGAAGCUUGCUUUCUCCGCCGGCGACCGGCGCACGGGUGAGUAACACGUAUGCAACCUGCCCCUGUCAGGGGGACAACCCGCCGAAAGGCGGGCUAAACCCGCGUACAUGCCACCGGGGCAUCCCGGAGGCAGGAAAGGCUUCGGCCGGACAGGGAUGGGCAUGCGGCGCAUUAGGCAGUAGGCGGGGUAACGGCCCACCUAACCGACGAUGCGUAGGGGUUCUGAGAGGAAGGUCCCCCACACUGGUACUGAGACACGGACCAGACUCCUACGGGAGGCAGCAGUGAGGAAUAUUGGUCAAUGGUCGGGAGACUGAACCAGCCAAGCCGCGUGAGGGAGGAAGGUACAGAGUAUCGUAAACCUCUUUUGUCAGGGAACAAAGACUGGGACGCGUCCCCGGAUGAGUGUACCUGAAGAAAAAGCAUCGGCUAACUCCGUGCCAGCAGCCGCGGUAAUACGGAGGAUGCGAGCGUUAUCCGGAUUUAUUGGGUUUAAAGGGUGCGCAGGCGGUCUGUUAAGUCAGCGGUCAAAGCCCGGGGCUCAACCCCGGCCCGCCGUUGAAACUGGCAGUCUCGAGUUGGAGAGAAGUAUGCGGAAUGCGCGGUGUACCGGUGAAAUGCAUAGAUAUCGCGCAGAACUCCGAUUGCGAAGGCAGCAUGCCGGCUCCACACUGACGCUGAGGCACGAAAGCGUGGGUAUCGAACAGGAUUAGAUACCCUGGUAGUCCACGCAGUAAACGAUGAAUGCUGGCUGUCCGGGGGGACUGACCCCUGGGUGGCGAAGCGAAAGCGAUAAGCAUUCCACCUGGGGAGUACGCCGGCAACGGUGAAACUCAAAGGAAUUGACGGGGGCCCGCACAAGCGGAGGAACAUGUGGUUUAAUUCGAUGAUACGCGAGGAACCUUACCCGGGCUCAAACGGGGAGUGCCGCAGGCAGAGACGCCUGUUUCCCACGGGACACUCCCCGAGGUGCUGCAUGGUUGUCGUCAGCUCGUGCCGUGAGGUGUCGGCUUAAGUGCCAUAACGAGCGCAACCCCCGCGUGCAGUUGCUAACAGAUAACGCUGAGGACUCUGCACGGACUGCCGGCGCAAGCCGCGAGGAAGGCGGGGAUGACGUCAAAUCAGCACGGCCCUUACGUCCGGGGCGACACACGUGUUACAAUGGGUGGUACAGCGGGAAGCCAGGCGGCGACGCCGAGCGGAACCCGAAAUCCACUCUCAGUUCGGAUCGGAGUCUGCAACCCGACUCCGUGAAGCUGGAUUCGCUAGUAAUCGCGCAUCAGCCAUGGCGCGGUGAAUACGUUCCCGG